CUCCGUAGAUCCAGUCGGCACAUCACUGACUCGAAGCGGAGCUGGUGACGAACUUGGUCACCAGACCCGGUGGUCCCGAGCUACGCAGCACACAAACAGAACAGCGGCAGAGUGGGAGGAACUUCAGCUCUCGCGGAAUCUGCAGAAGCCGCCAGUCUCCUGGGCAAGCCUCGCGUUGUUUGGUUAAGGGGCGGGGCGUUCAGCGAGAGGGCGGAGUCCAACCCGGGUAGGGGUGGGAGGUGUUCCCAGGUCCUGUUGACUGGCGUCUUUCUUCUGAGGGCGCCUCGCGCGUGCGCAGCUCCCAGGAGGUGGUGGCGACUAGGGCAGUCCAGCUGCCCUGGUCGCGGGUUGCCGGUCGGGCCCCGCCCUCCCGCGCCGGCGCUGGCGGACGCUGUGCCCGGCCAGUCGGCUGUCUCUGCGGCGCUCCGCCCGCCGCCGGCCU
This 442-nucleotide long non-coding RNA is filed under the name Rattus norvegicus (Norway rat). Its description in RNAcentral is "long non-coding RNA NONRATT023012". Lineage: Eukaryota; Metazoa; Chordata; Mammalia; Rodentia; Muridae. The record is from RNAcentral.